AACGAACGCUGGCGGCAGGCUUAACACAUGCAAGUCGAACGCCCCGCAAGGGGAGUGGCAGACGGGUGAGUAACGCGUGGGAACAUACCCUUUCCUGCGGAAUAGCCCCGGGAAACUGGGAUUAAUACCGCAUACGCCCUACGGGGGAAAGAUUUAUCGGGGAAGGAAUGGCCCGCGUGGGAUUAGCUAGUUGGUGGGGUAAAGGCAUACCAAGGCGACGAUCCAUAGCUGGUCUGAGAGGAUGAUCAGCCACAUUGGGACGGAGACACGGCCCAAACUCCUACGGGAGGCAGGAGUGGGGAAUAUUGGAAAAUGGGCGCAAGGCUGAUCCAGCCAGGACGCGUGAGUGAUGAAGGCCUUAGGGUUGUAAAGCUCUUUCACCGAUGAAGAUAAUGACGGUAGUCGGAGAAGAAGCCCCGGCUAACUUCGUG
RNAcentral lists this ribosomal RNA (431 nucleotides) under uncultured bacterium. RNAcentral's name for it is "partial 16S ribosomal RNA". It matches the Rfam family "Bacterial small subunit ribosomal RNA", at positions 29 to 507 of the family's 1533-position model. The record is from RNAcentral.